AUGGCCUGGACCCCUAUCCUCCUGGGCCUCCUGGCUCACUGCACAGGGUUCGUGGCCUCCUAUGAGCUCACCCAGCCACCCUCAGUAUCAGUGGCCCUGGGAGAGACAGCCAGGAUCACCUGUAGGGGAAACAAUAUUGGUAGCAAAGCUGUGCAUUGGUACCAGCAGAAGCCAGGCCAGUCCCCUGUGCUGGUCAUCUAUGGUGAUAGCAACCGGCUCUCAGGGAUCCCUGAGCGAUUCUCAGGUUCCAACUCAGGGAACACGGCCACCCUGACCAUCAGCGGGGCCCAGGCCGAGGACGAUGCUGACUAUUACUGUCAGGUGUGGGACUCUGGGGCCGAUAGCCCAUGGGUGACCUUCUCUGGCUCCUCGUGUGUGACAUAA
This is a non-coding RNA of Otolemur garnettii (small-eared galago), 384 nucleotides long. The record is from the annotation of a RefSeq genome assembly. Lineage: Eukaryota; Metazoa; Chordata; Mammalia; Primates; Galagidae.